GGCCAGAUAGGAAAGUGGUCUAAUCCGGUGGUUUCAAGUUGCACUAGCUUGCUCAGCUUCUUCUGAGUCCUCCACUCCUUCGGGGCCUGGGUUCGAGUCCCAGUCUGGUCA
Molecule: non-coding RNA, 111 nt
Organism: Naganishia cerealis
Lineage: Eukaryota; Fungi; Basidiomycota; Tremellomycetes; Filobasidiales; Filobasidiaceae
Source: the annotation of a GenBank genome assembly